Molecule: long non-coding RNA, 428 nt
Filed under: Ananas comosus (pineapple)
Lineage: Eukaryota; Viridiplantae; Streptophyta; Magnoliopsida; Poales; Bromeliaceae
Description: long non-coding RNA (ACOM_LNC040371)
Source: RNAcentral
AUUGAGGCGUGGUUUGAAUUUCGCGGACAAAAUUCUUUUAAGGGGUGGAGAAUGUAACAUACCAGAUUUUGGUAUAAAAAUAAAAAUAAAUAAAAAUAGUAUGAGAAACUAUUUUUAUUGGAUUUAUAGAAGUAAAACAUAAGUCAGAAGUGACUUGUGCUGAAAUCGGAAUGAAAAUAGAAAAUCUAGAAUUUUCUGUUGGAAACGGGACAGAUAGAAAAUGCACAGUCUCAGAAAAUUAUGAAAAUUGAAAGAUAAGUCAGAAAUAUUUUAUGAGGCUAGAUUUAAAAUUUCAUAUUUUUCUGACACCCGUAGAGUGAGAAAUAAAAUCCGACAGUUAUCUGAUAAAGAUUACAGUUUGGUAUAGUUUUCGGUGACCAAAUGGGGUCGAAACUGAAAAAUUAAAAUAUAUUCUUACUCAAUACGUU